Molecule: ribosomal RNA, 806 nt
Filed under: Pleurotus ostreatus (oyster mushroom)
Lineage: Eukaryota; Fungi; Basidiomycota; Agaricomycetes; Agaricales; Pleurotaceae
Description: partial large subunit ribosomal RNA
Rfam family: Eukaryotic large subunit ribosomal RNA
Source: RNAcentral
UGCGAGUGAAGCGGGAAAAGCUCAAAUUUAAAAUCUGGUGGUCUUUGGCCAUCCGAGUUGUAAUCUAGAGAAGUGUUAUCCGCGCUGGACCGUGUACAAGUCCCCUGGAAUGGGGCGUCAUAGAGGGUGAGAAUCCCGUCUUUGACACGGACUACCAGGGCUUUGUGAUGCACUCUCAAAGAGUCGAGUUGUUUGGGAAUGCAGCUCAAAAUGGGUGGUAAAUUCCAUCUAAAGCUAAAUAUUGGCGAGAGACCGAUAGCGAACAAGUACCGUGAGGGAAAGAUGAAAAGAACUUUGGAAAGAGAGUUAAACAGUACGUGAAAUUGUUGAAAGGGAAACGCUUGAAGUCAGUCGCGUCUGCCAGGGAUCAACCUUACUUUUGUGAGGCGUACUUCCUGGUUGAUGGGUCAGCAUCAGUUUUGGUCGCUGGAUAAAGGUCAGAGAAAUGUGGCACCUUCGGGUGUGUUAUAGUCUUUGAUCAGAUACAGUGGCUGGGACUGAGGAACUCAGCGCCGCAAGGCUGUCUUAGGAUGCUGGCAAAAUGGCUUUAAUCGACCCGUCUUGAAACACGGACCAAGGAGUCUAACAUGCCUGCGAGUGUUUGGGUGGAAAACCCGAGCGCGUAAUGAAAGUGAAAGUUGGGAUCCCUGUCAUGGGGAGCACCGACGCCCAUACCAGAAGUUUACGGACGGAUAUGCGGUGGAGCAUGUAUGUUGGGACCCGAAAGAUGGUGAACUAUGCCUGAAUAGGGCGAAGCCAGAGGAAACUCUGGUGGAGGCUCGUAGCGAUUCUGACGUGCAAAUCGA